This 465-nucleotide ribosomal RNA is filed under the name uncultured bacterium. RNAcentral's name for it is "partial 16S ribosomal RNA". It matches the Rfam family "Bacterial small subunit ribosomal RNA", at positions 338 to 795 of the family's 1533-position model. The record is from RNAcentral.
CCUACGGGAGGCAGCAGUAGGGAAUUUUCCACAAUGGGCGAAAGCCUGAUGGAGCAACGCCGCGUGGGUGAAGAAGGUCUUCGGAUCGUAAAACCCUGUUGUUAGAGAAGAAAGUGCGUGAGAGUAACUGUUCACGUUUCGACGGUAUCUACCCAGAAAGCCACGGCUAACUACGUGCCAGCAGCCGCGGUAAUACGUAGGUGGCAAGCGUUAUCCGGAUUUAUUGGGCGUAAAGGGAACGCAGGCGGUCUUUUAAGUCUGAUGUGAAAGCCUUCGGCUUAACCGGAGUAGUGCAUUGGAAACUGGGAGACUUGAGUGCAGAAGAGGAGAGUAGAACUCCAGGUGUAGCGGUGAAAUGCGUAGAUAUAUGGAAGAACACCAGUGGCGAAGGCGGCUCUCUGGGCUGUAACUGACGCUGAGGUUCGAAAGCGUGGGUAGCAAACAGGAUUAGAUACCCGUGUAGUC